RNAcentral lists this ribosomal RNA (498 nucleotides) under uncultured bacterium. RNAcentral's name for it is "partial 16S ribosomal RNA". It matches the Rfam family "Bacterial small subunit ribosomal RNA", at positions 30 to 523 of the family's 1533-position model. The record is from RNAcentral.
AUUGAACGCUGGCGGAAUGCUUUACACAUGCAAGUCGAGCGGCAGCGCGGGGCAACCUGGCGGCGAGCGGCGAACGGGUGAGUAAUACAUCGGAACGUGCCCAGACGUGGGGGAUAACUACUCGAAAGAGUAGCUAAUACCGCAUAUGAUCUAAGGAUGAAAGCGGGGGAUCGCAAGACCUCGCGCAUUUGGAGCGGCCGAGGGCAGAUUAGGUAGUUGGUGGGGUAAAGGCUUACCAAGCCCGCGAUCUGUAGCUGGUCUGAGAGGACGACCAGCCACACUGGGACUGAGACACGGCCCAGCCUCCUGCGGGAGGCAGCAGUGGGGAAUUUUGGACAAUGGGCGAAAGCCUGAUCCAGCCAUUCCGCGUGCAGGAUGAAGGCCCUCGGGUUGUAAACUGCUUUUGUACAGAACGAAAAAGCUCUGGUUAAUACCUGGAGCCCAUGACGGUACUGUAAGAAUAAGCACCGGCUAACUACGUGCCAGCCGCCGCGGUAA